RNAcentral lists this ribosomal RNA (229 nucleotides) under uncultured bacterium. RNAcentral's name for it is "partial 16S ribosomal RNA". It matches the Rfam family "Bacterial small subunit ribosomal RNA", at positions 568 to 796 of the family's 1533-position model. The record is from RNAcentral.
UGCGCAGGCGGAACAAUAAGUCAGUGGUGAAAUCCUACAGCUCAACUGUAGAACUGCCAUUGAUACUGUUGUUCUUGAGUACAGUGGAAGUGGGCGGAAUGUAUCAUGUAGCGGUGAAAUGCAUAGAUAUGAUACAGAACUCCGAUAGCGAAAGCAGCUCACUAUACUGAAACUGACGCUCAGGCACGAAAGCGUGGGGAGCAAACAGGAUUAGAUACCCUGGUAGUCC